This 1697-nucleotide ribosomal RNA is filed under the name Salmonella enterica subsp. enterica serovar Duesseldorf. RNAcentral describes it as "partial 23S ribosomal RNA". It matches the Rfam family "Bacterial large subunit ribosomal RNA", at positions 1262 to 2925 of the family's 2925-position model. Lineage: Bacteria; Pseudomonadati; Pseudomonadota; Gammaproteobacteria; Enterobacterales; Enterobacteriaceae. The record is from RNAcentral.
UGUGAGGCAUGCUGGAGGUAUCAGAAGUGCGAAUGCUGACAUAAGUAACGAUAAAGCGGGUGAAAAGCCCGCUCGCCGGAAGACCAAGGGUUCCUGUCCAACGUUAAUCGGGGCAGGGUGAGUCGACCCCUAAGGCGAGGCCGAAAGGCGUAGUCGAUGGGAAACGGGUUAAUAUUCCCGUACUUGGUGUUACUGCGAAGGGGGGACGGAGAAGGCUAUGUUGGCCGGGCGACGGUUGUCCCGGUUUAAGCGUGUAGGUGUGUGUUCCAGGUAAAUCCGGUUCACUUUAACACUGAGGCGUGACGACGAGGCACUACGGUGCUGAAGCAACAAAUGCCCUGCUUCCAGGAAAAGCCUCUAAGCAUCAGGUAACAUCAAAUCGUACCCCAAACCGACACAGGUGGUCAGGUAGAGAAUACCAAGGCGCUUGAGAGAACUCGGGUGAAGGAACUAGGCAAAAUGGUGCCGUAACUUCGGGAGAAGGCACGCUGACACGUAGGUGAAGUGAUUUACUCACGGAGCUGAAGUCAGUCGAAGAUACCAGCUGGCUGCAACUGUUUAUUAAAAACACAGCACUGUGCAAACACGAAAGUGGACGUAUACGGUGUGACGCCUGCCCGGUGCCGGAAGGUUAAUUGAUGGGGUCAGCGCAAGCGAAGCUCCUGAUCGAAGCCCCGGUAAACGGCGGCCGUAACUAUAACGGUCCUAAGGUAGCGAAAUUCCUUGUCGGGUAAGUUCCGACCUGCACGAAUGGCGUAAUGAUGGCCAGGCUGUCUCCACCCGAGACUCAGUGAAAUUGAACUCGCUGUGAAGAUGCAGUGUACCCGCGGCAAGACGGAAAGACCCCGUGAACCUUUACUAUAGCUUGACACUGAACAUUGAGCCUUGAUGUGUAGGAUAGGUGGGAGGCUUUGAAGCGUGGACGCCAGUCUGCGUGGAGCCGACCUUGAAAUACCACCCUUUAAUGUUUGAUGUUCUAACGUGGACCCGUGAUCCGGGUUGCGGACAGUGUCUGGUGGGUAGUUUGACUGGGGCGGUCUCCUCCUAAAGAGUAACGGAGGAGCACGAAGGUUGGCUAAUCCUGGUCGGACAUCAGGAGGUUAGUGCAAUGGCAUAAGCCAGCUUGACUGCGAGCGUGACGGCGCGAGCAGGUGCGAAAGCAGGUCAUAGUGAUCCGGUGGUUCUGAAUGGAAGGGCCAUCGCUCAACGGAUAAAAGGUACUCCGGGGAUAACAGGCUGAUACCGCCCAAGAGUUCAUAUCGACGGCGGUGUUUGGCACCUCGAUGUCGGCUCAUCACAUCCUGGGGCUGAAGUAGGUCCCAAGGGUAUGGCUGUUCGCCAUUUAAAGUGGUACGCGAGCUGGGUUUAGAACGUCGUGAGACAGUUCGGUCCCUAUCUGCCGUGGGCGCUGGAGAACUGAGGGGGGCUGCUCCUAGUACGAGAGGACCGGAGUGGACGCAUCACUGGUGUUCGGGUUGUCAUGCCAAUGGCACUGCCCGGUAGCUAAAUGCGGAAGAGAUAAGUGCUGAAAGCAUCUAAGCACGAAACUUGCCCCGAGAUGAGUUCUCCCUGAGACUUUAGGUCUCCUGAAGGAACGUUGAAGACGACGACGUUGAUAGGCCGGGUGUGUAAGCGCAGCGAUGCGUUGAGCUAACCGGUACUAAUGAACCGUGAGGCUUAACCUUACAACGCCGAAG